This 541-nucleotide ribosomal RNA is filed under the name uncultured bacterium. Its description in RNAcentral is "bacterial SSU rRNA". It matches the Rfam family "Bacterial small subunit ribosomal RNA", at positions 355 to 896 of the family's 1533-position model. The record is from RNAcentral.
UGGGGAAUAUUGGUCAAUGGGCGAAAGCCUGAACCAGCCAAGUAGCGUGCAGGAUGACGGCCCUAUGGGUUGUAAACUGCUUUUAUACAGGGAUAAAGUUAGCCACGUGUGGUUAUUUGCAGGUACUGUAUGAAUAAGGACCGGCUAAUUCCGUGCCAGCAGCCGCGGUAAUACGGAAGGUCCGGGCGUUAUCCGGAUUUAUUGGGUUUAAAGGGAGCGUAGGCUGCCCGGCAAGCGUGCUGUGAAAUACAGUGGCCCAACCACUGGACUGCAGCGCGAACUGUCGGGCUUGAGGGCGCACGACGCAGGCGGAAUUUGUGGUGUAGCGGUGAAAUGCUUAGAUAUCACGAAGAACCCCGAUUGCGAAGGCAGCUUGCGGGAGCGCGACUGACGCUGAAGCUCGAAAGUGCGGGUAUCAAACAGGAUUAGAUACCCUGGUAGUCCGCACGGUAAACGAUGGAUGCCCGUUCUGCGGCCUUCGGGCCGCGGGACCAAGCGAAAGCAUUAAGCAUCCCACCUGGGGAGUACGCCGGCAACGGUG